GAGGGUAUAGCUCAGUGGUAAAGCACAUGCUUAGCAUGCACAAGGUCCUGGGUUCAAUCCCCAGUACCUCCA
Camelus ferus (Wild Bactrian camel) is the source of this 72-nucleotide transfer RNA. It matches the Rfam family "tRNA". From Rfam's summary of the family: Transfer RNA (tRNA) molecules are approximately 80 nucleotides in length. Their secondary structure includes four short double-helical elements and three loops (D, anti-codon, and T loops). Further hydrogen bonds mediate the characteristic L-shaped molecular structure. tRNAs have two regions of fundamental functional importance: the anti-codon, which is responsible for specific mRNA codon recognition, and the 3' end, to which the tRNAs corresponding amino acid is attached (by aminoacyl-tRNA synthetases). tRNAs cope with the degeneracy of the genetic code in two manners: having more than one tRNA (with a specific anti-codon) for a particular amino acid; and 'wobble' base-pairing, i.e. permitting non-standard base-pairing at the 3rd anti-codon position. Lineage: Eukaryota; Metazoa; Chordata; Mammalia; Artiodactyla; Camelidae. The record is from Rfam.